UGACAGUCUCACCUGCAGCUCUUCACAUGCUGACACCUUCUCUAAGGUAGAACAUGGAAAUUGUUUUCAUUAAAUGGCUCAGCCUCGGAUUAUGCUUCAUCUUAAAGUGGACUUCAAGUGAUGGGAGUGAUGUCAACCAGACCUCCAUGAUUUGGAAAAAACAGGGCGAAGAUGCAACAAUAAACUGCAGCCACACAAAGGAUUUCUCUCACAACCAGAUGUAUUGGUACAGACAGCUGCCUGGAGAAACUAUGAAACUAGUUGUGUUCACAAGUACAGCAAAACCUGAUCAUGAUUUUGGAAAUUUCAGCAGGGAGAAAUUUGCAGCCACCAAGCCUGACGCUUACACUGGGACGUUCACAGUGAAGGAUCUGGUGCCUACAGACAAAGGCUUGUAUUUCUGUGCUGUGAGCAAACACAGUGAUACAGAUGCACCCAGUAGCUGAACAAAAACCCCAGUACACUGUCAGUGCAAAGUUUUACCUACUAAUCUCCUCUACUGUGGUACCCACCACACAAUACAUGCACCUGCAGCUUUUUAUCUUUAUAUUCUGACUUUAUAGAGAUGAUCCAAAACCAUCUUGGGAGCUUUUAACUGUACAGUACAAAGAAAGGUGCAUGAGAUAUUUGUGCUCCUCUGUACAGCAUUUGUUUAGGAUAAAGAAAUAAUCGGCAAGUGUCACAAAUUGCUGUAAAUGUUCUACUAUAUCAUAGUAAAAUUUUCUGGUCAUGUUAACAGUUUUAGAUUCAGUCACACUGAAAUU
Molecule: non-coding RNA, 764 nt
Organism: Oreochromis niloticus (Nile tilapia)
Lineage: Eukaryota; Metazoa; Chordata; Actinopteri; Cichliformes; Cichlidae
Source: the annotation of a RefSeq genome assembly